CUAUUCAUUAAGUGGAAGUGGAUCACCAGAAAAGUCUUCAUCCUCGUGAUCUUCACAUUGAGUAGGCUGAGGAAAAGGAGGAAGAGGUGGGAAUGGUCUUGCUGUCUUAGGGGUGGCAGUGACAAACUUCUUUGGCUCUUCCCAUGAGAAGUACUUAGGGGGCUCAGUAUUAGUGUAUGGAAAUACAUCGUAAUUUCUGAUUUUUUUUUCUCUAAAAAUGUUUCCAUAUGGUACCAAUCCUUCUUCCUCUGUUUGCUUUAGUUUCAGUGCCCGCAUCAUAGAAGUGUCCAUGUCAUAAAAGCCAAAAGCAGUCUUGAAUAAUCAAAAUCCUUAUGCCAUGUUGUCUAAUGUCAAUUUGUUUCCUGGCACAGUUUCUUCUACUAAUUCUUCCUCAUCGUCUGGCACUGGUUCAGAAGCACUCAUCUCCAACAAGUUGUCUCCUGUUAAUUCCUCUGGUGUGGCGUCUACAAGGUCUUGAAUUUCUCUGAGAAUGAGUCAAUUCCACCUGCAUUAAAAACCUGUUCAAGGCAUGGCACUGGUACAAAAAUAGACACAUAGACCAAUGAAACAGAAUAGAGAGCCCAGAAAUAAGGCCACACACCUACAACCAUCUGAUCUUUAACAAUGCUGACAAAAAAAAAAAACAAUGGGGAAAGGACUCCCUAUUCAAUAAGUGGUGCUGAGAUAACUGGCUAGCCAUAUGCAGAAGAUUCAGACUGGAUCCCUUCUUUAUAUGAUAUGUAAAAAUCAACUCAAGAUGGAUUAAAGACUUAAAUGUAAAACCCAGAACUAUCAAAACCCUGGAAGAUAACCUAGGCAAUACCAUCCUGGACAUAGGAAUGGCAAAGAUUUCAUGACGAAGAUGUCAACAGCAAUCGCAACAAAAGCAAAAAUUGACAGGCGGAUCUAAUUAAACUUAAAAGCUUCUGCACAGCAAAAGAAACUAUCAACAGACUAGACAGACAACCUACAGAAUGAGAGAAAAUAUUCACAAACUAUGCAUCUGACAAAGGUCUAAUAUCCAGCAUCUGUAAGGAACUUAAACAAAUUUACAAGAAAAAAAAACUCCAUUAAAAAGUGGGCAAAGGACAUGAACACUUAUCAAAAGAAGACAUAUGUGUAGCCAACAAGCAUAUGAAUAAAAGCUCAACAUCACUGAUCAUUAAGGAAAUGCAAAUCAAAACCACAAUGAGACAGUAUCUCACACCAGUCAGAAUGGCUAUUAUUAAAAUGUCAAAAAAUAACUGAUGCUGGCAAGGGUGGGGGGAAAAGGGAACACUUAUAUAUACACUGUUGAUGGGAGUGUAAAUUAGCUCAACCAUUGUGGAAAGCAGUAUGGUGAUUCUUCAAAGAGCUAAACAAAACUACCAUUCAACCCAAC
RNAcentral lists this long non-coding RNA (1381 nucleotides) under Homo sapiens (human). RNAcentral's name for it is "HSALNT0376253". The record is from RNAcentral. Lineage: Eukaryota; Metazoa; Chordata; Mammalia; Primates; Hominidae.